This 253-nucleotide ribosomal RNA is filed under the name uncultured bacterium. Its description in RNAcentral is "partial 16S ribosomal RNA". It matches the Rfam family "Bacterial small subunit ribosomal RNA", at positions 524 to 776 of the family's 1533-position model. The record is from RNAcentral.
GACGUAGGGCGCGAGCGUUGUCCGGAUUUAUUGGGCGUAAAGAGCGUGUAGGCGGUUUGGUAGGUCCGUUGUGAAAACUCGAGGCUCAACCUCGAGACGCCGAUGGAAACCAUCAGACUAGAGUCCGGAAGAGGAGAGUGGAAUUCCUGGUGUAGCGGUGAAAUGCGCAGAUAUCAGGAAGAACACCCGUGGCUAAGGCGGCUCUCUAGUACGGUACUGACGCUGAGACGCGAAAGCGUGGGGAGCGAACAGG